GACGAACGCUGGCGGCGUGCUUAACACAUGCAAGUCGAACGGAAAGGCCCUGCUUUUGUGGGGUGCUCGAGUGGCGAACGGGUGAGUAACACGUGAGUAACCUGCCCUUGACUUUGGGAUAACUUCAGGAAACUGGGGCUAAUACCGGAUAGGAGCUCCUGCUGCAUGGUGGGGGUUGGAAAGUUUCGGCGGUUGGGGAUGGACUCGCGGCUUAUCAGCUUGUUGGUGGGGUAGUGGCUUACCAAGGCUUUGACGGGUAGCCGGCCUGAGAGGGUGACCGGCCACAUUGGGACUAAGAUACGGCCCAGACUCCUAGGGGAGGCAGCAGUGGGGAAUAUUGCACAAUGGGCGGAAGCCUUAUGCAGCAACGCCGCGUGCGGGAUGACGGCCUUCGGGUUGUAAACCGCUUUCGCCUGUGACGAAGCGUGAGGGACGGUAAUGGGUAAAGAAGCACCGGCUAACUACGGG
RNAcentral lists this ribosomal RNA (468 nucleotides) under uncultured bacterium. RNAcentral's name for it is "partial 16S ribosomal RNA". It matches the Rfam family "Bacterial small subunit ribosomal RNA", at positions 28 to 507 of the family's 1533-position model. The record is from RNAcentral.